This 459-nucleotide ribosomal RNA is filed under the name uncultured bacterium. RNAcentral describes it as "partial 16S ribosomal RNA". It matches the Rfam family "Bacterial small subunit ribosomal RNA", at positions 338 to 795 of the family's 1533-position model. The record is from RNAcentral.
CCUACGGGUGGCUGCAGUGAGGAAUAUUGGUCAAUGGCCGGAAGGCUGAACCAGCCAAGCCGCGUGAGGGAGGAAGGCGCAGAGCGUCGCAGACCUCUUUUGCCGGGGGACAAACGGCCGGACUCGUCCGGUCCUGAGGGUACCCGGCGAAAAAGCAUCGGCUAACUCCGUGCCAGCAGCCGCGGUAAUACGGAGGAUGCGAGCGUUAUCCGGAUUCAUUGGGUUUAAAGGGUGCGCAGGCGGGCCUUUAAGCCGGCGGUGAAAUCGCGGGGCUCAACCCCGUCGAGCCGUUGAAACUGGCAGACUUGAGUGGGCGAGAAGUACGCGGAAUGCGCGGUGUAGCGGUGAAAUGCAUAGAUAUCGCGCAGAACUCCGAUUGCGAAGGCAGCGUACCGGCGCCAGACUGACGCUGAGGCACGAAAGCGUGGGGAUCGAACAGGAUUAGAUACCCUGGUAGUC